GGAGGUGUAGCUCAGUGGUAGAGUGUCUGUUUAACAUGCAUGAGGCCCUGAGUUCAAUUCCCAGUACCUCCA
This 72-nucleotide transfer RNA is filed under the name Camelus bactrianus (Bactrian camel). It matches the Rfam family "tRNA". Rfam says of the family: Transfer RNA (tRNA) molecules are approximately 80 nucleotides in length. Their secondary structure includes four short double-helical elements and three loops (D, anti-codon, and T loops). Further hydrogen bonds mediate the characteristic L-shaped molecular structure. tRNAs have two regions of fundamental functional importance: the anti-codon, which is responsible for specific mRNA codon recognition, and the 3' end, to which the tRNAs corresponding amino acid is attached (by aminoacyl-tRNA synthetases). tRNAs cope with the degeneracy of the genetic code in two manners: having more than one tRNA (with a specific anti-codon) for a particular amino acid; and 'wobble' base-pairing, i.e. permitting non-standard base-pairing at the 3rd anti-codon position. Lineage: Eukaryota; Metazoa; Chordata; Mammalia; Artiodactyla; Camelidae. The record is from Rfam by way of RNAcentral. RNAcentral also lists the same sequence under 2 other names.